Molecule: ribosomal RNA, 1368 nt
Filed under: Mycobacterium sp. DWMJ-418A1
Lineage: Bacteria; Bacillati; Actinomycetota; Actinomycetes; Mycobacteriales; Mycobacteriaceae
Description: bacterial SSU rRNA
Rfam family: Bacterial small subunit ribosomal RNA
Source: RNAcentral
GCUCCCUUAGGUCAGCGGCGGACGGGUGAGUAACACGUGGGUAACCUGCCUGUAAGACUGGGAUAACUCCGGGAAACCGGGGCUAAUACCGGAUGCUUGAUUGAACCGCAUGGUUCAAUCAUAAAAGGUGGCUUUUAGCUACCACUUNCNGAUGGACCCGCGGCGCAUUAGCUAGUUGGUGAGGUAACGGCUCACCAAGGCGACGAUGCGUAGCCGACCUGAGAGGGUGAUCGGCCACACUGGGACUGAGACACGGCCCAGACUCCUACGGGAGGCAGCAGUAGGGAAUCUUCCGCAAUGGACGAAAGUCUGACGGAGCAACGCCGCGUGAGUGAUGAAGGUUUUCGGAUCGUAAAACUCUGUUGUUACGGAAGAACAAGUACCGUUCGAAUAGGGCGGNACCUUGACGGUACCUAACCAGAAAGCCACGGCUAACUACGUGCCAGCAGCCGCGGUAAUACGUAGGUGGCAAGCGUUGUCCGGAAAUUAUUGGGCGUAAAGCGCGCGCAGGCGGUUUCUUAAGUCUGAUGUGAAAGCCCCCGGCUCAACCGGGGAGGGUCAUUGGAAACUGGGGAACUUGAGUGCAGAAGAGGAGAGUGGAAUUCCACGUGUAGCGGUGAAAUGCGUAGAGAUGUGGAGGAACACCAGUGGCGAAGGCGACUCUCUGGUCUGUAACUGACGCUGAGGCGCGAAAGCGUGGGGAGCGAACAGGAUUAGAUACCCUGGUAGUCCACGCCGUAAACGAUGAGUGCUAAGUGUUAGAGGGUUUCCGCCCUUUAGUGCUGCAGCAAACGCAUUAAGCACUCCGCCUGGGGAGUACGGUCGCAAGACUGAAACUCAAAGGAAUUGACGGGGGCCCGCACAAGCGGUGGAGCAUGUGGUUUAAUUCGAAGCAACGCGAAGAACCUUACCAGGUCUUGACAUCCUCUGACAACCCUAGAGAUAGGGCUUCCCCUUCGGGGGCAGAGUGACAGGUGGUGCAUGGUUGUCGUCAGCUCGUGUCGUGAGAUGUUGGGUUAAGUCCCGCAACGAGCGCAACCCUUGAUCUUAGUUGCCAGCAUUCAGUUGGGCACUCUAAGGUGACUGCCGGUGACAAACCGGAGGAAGGUGGGGAUGACGUCAAAUCAUCAUGCCCCUUAUGACCAGGGCUACACACGUGCUACAAUGGGCAGAACAAAGGGCAGCGAAGCCGCGAGGCUAAGCCAAUCCUACAAAUCUGUUCUCAGUUCAGAUCGCAGUCUGCAACUCGACUGCGUGAAGCUGGAAUCGCUAGUAAUCGCGGAUCAGCACGCCGCGGUGAAUACGUUCCCGGGCCUUGUACACACCGCCCGUCACACCACGAGAGUUUGUAACACCCGAAGUCGGUGA